This 260-nucleotide ribosomal RNA is filed under the name uncultured bacterium. Its description in RNAcentral is "partial 16S ribosomal RNA". It matches the Rfam family "Bacterial small subunit ribosomal RNA", at positions 793 to 1055 of the family's 1533-position model. The record is from RNAcentral.
GUCCACGCCGUAACGAUGUCAACUAGCCGUUGGGUUCCUUGAGGACUUAGUGGCGCAGCUAACGCAUUAAGUUGACCGCCUGGGGAGUACGGCCGCAAGGUUAAACUCAAAUGAAUUGACGGGGCCCGCACAAGCGGUGGAGCAUGUGGUUUAAUUCGAAGCAACGCGAAGAACCUUACCAGGCCUUGACAUCUACAGAACUUUCCAGAGAUGGAUGGGUGCCUUCGGGAACUGUAAGACAGGUGCUGCAUGGCUGUCGU